UACGAAGGGGGCUAGCGUUGUUCGGAAUUACUGGGCGUAAAGGGCGCGUAGGCUGUGCUGUAAGUCAGGCGUGAAAGCCCCGGGCUCAACCUGGGAAUUGCGCUUGAUACUGCGGCGCUGGAAGGUGGGAGAGGAUGGCGGAAUUCCCAGUGUAGAGGUGAAAUUCGUAGAUAUUGGGAAGAACACCGGUGGCGAAGGCGGCUAUCUGGACCGACAUUGACGCUGAUGCGCGAAAGCGUGGGGAGCAAACAGG
This 253-nucleotide ribosomal RNA is filed under the name uncultured bacterium. Its description in RNAcentral is "partial 16S ribosomal RNA". It matches the Rfam family "Bacterial small subunit ribosomal RNA", at positions 524 to 776 of the family's 1533-position model. The record is from RNAcentral.